GGUUCCAUAGUGUAGUGGUUAGCACGUCUGCUUUACACGCAGAAGGUCCUGGGUUCGAUCCCCAGUGGAACCA
This is a non-coding RNA of Physeter macrocephalus (sperm whale), 73 nucleotides long. Lineage: Eukaryota; Metazoa; Chordata; Mammalia; Artiodactyla; Physeteridae. The record is from the annotation of a RefSeq genome assembly.